CCUACGGGUGGCUGCAGUGGGGGAUAUUGCACAAUGGGGGAACCCCUGAUGCAGCGACGCCGCGUGGGUGAAGAAGCGCCUCGGCGCGUAAAGCCCUGUCAGCAGGGAAGAAAAUGACGGUACCUGAAGAAGAAGCCCCGGCUAACUACGUGCCAGCAGCCGCGGUAAUACGUAGGGGGCAAGCGUGAUCCGGAUUUACAGGGUGGAAAGGGGGCGCAGACGGCGAUGCAGGCCAGGAGUGAAAGCCCGGGGCACAACCCCGGGACGGCUCUUGGAACUGCGUGGCUAGAGUGCAGGAGGGGCAGGCGGAAUUCCUGGUGUAGCAGUGAAAUGCGUAGAUAUCAGGAGGAACACCGGUGGCGAAGGCGGCCUGCUGGACUGCAACUGACGUUGAGGCCCGAAAGCGUGGGGAGCAAACAGGAUUAGAUACCCGGGUAGUC
RNAcentral lists this ribosomal RNA (440 nucleotides) under uncultured bacterium. Its description in RNAcentral is "partial 16S ribosomal RNA". It matches the Rfam family "Bacterial small subunit ribosomal RNA", at positions 338 to 795 of the family's 1533-position model. The record is from RNAcentral.